UGAAGGGUCAGAUCAGAGGGGGUGAAGAGAGGAAGGUGCAGGAAGCACAUUUGCAUGCAGGCCACGCCCUCAUUGAGGCAGAGAGGGGGAGGAGAUAAUAGAGGUCUGGGAUAGACAAGCCUGGGAUUGGGGGUCUCAGAAGGCAGUGCUGUUGAGGAGUCACCACCAUGGCCUGGACUCUGGUCUUUCUCAGUCUCCUUGCUCAGGGCACAAGUUCCUGGGCCCAGUCUACCCUGACUCAGCCAGCCUCAGUGUCCGGGGCUCUGGGACAGACAGUUACCAUUUCUUGUACUGGAACCAGCAAUGACAUUGGGA
Long non-coding RNA from Ailuropoda melanoleuca (giant panda), 315 nucleotides. RefSeq lists it as uncharacterized. The record is from RefSeq and is a predicted model, not a curated record. Lineage: Eukaryota; Metazoa; Chordata; Mammalia; Carnivora; Ursidae. The transcript has 2 exons.